Molecule: long non-coding RNA, 4334 nt
Organism: Schistocerca nitens (vagrant locust)
Lineage: Eukaryota; Metazoa; Arthropoda; Insecta; Orthoptera; Acrididae
Exons: 2
Source: RefSeq, a predicted model, not a curated record
CACGUGCAUGGUAGUAGCUGGCAUGCUGACCAUUGGCAACUAGUUCUUUGCCACCACAUUUGCCAGUGCACAAGUGUGAAACCCAGCAGCAAGACUAAAGCAAACUGAACAUUAUUGUUAGCGUGCUAAAUUCAAAUAUGUAACAGACUAUCAUAUUAUGUAUACCAUCUUUUAAUUUGUUUUAGAACCCUAACACACAUAGGAUAAGCUGACAUGUCUACUCCAUUAAAUAAAAGAGAAGCCGACAAAUAAAGGCCAUCAACCCCUAUCGGCAAAUGUAAACAUGCACAAGCAAAGAACACUGUAUGUCUCCAUAACAUGUCAACGUACAGCCUGGAGGCAAUUGUGAAGGUACAUGAUGAAAGAGCCGUAGGAUAUCAUAAAGUUAAAAUUUAUUAAAAACAAAAAAUGAAACACUGAUCAACCAUAAGUGUUGGCAAAGACAUUAACUAUGAAUGCGUGGUAAGGCACAGGCAAAUGAAGAAAACCACCAUUCUUUUUUUGUACAUGAUUUUGUUUCUCACUCUCUUGUAUGUAGAAGGUCUAUUAAGAAGUGCCAUUUGGAUUAUGACGGGCUAUGAGUGUUUUGUAUCACACAUGUUUUUAAAUAAGAAAAACUUUGAUACCAGUAUUAAGGGGGGGGACAUUGAUGAAAUUGACCAAAAAUGUCAAUUUUUGAUUUAUUUUUUUAUUUCUUAGUACAUCUCAUGGACAAUAAGUUCCCAGAGUUUCAAUGUUGAAAUCACAUCCGAAUUGCCUGAAAAUGAAUUAAAAGUGUGACGCGGCCUCCCUGCCAUGCCCACCUUUUUAAGAAGCAUUUCAGUACCAGCUCAGUGAACAAAGCUUGUGUGUAUUACAUUCAACAAAACGCAUGUGGGAUACACAUAGAAGGCGAUGAUACAUACUCUUUGGUUUUAUAGAUCAUCUUUGGCCGAUCCUGCACUUCACAAAAAGUGUGUUCAUGGCAAAACCCAAAAUCCAAAUGAGUCUCUAAAUCCACUCAUAUGGAAACAAUGUCCUAAAAACACAUUUGCAACUGCUACAGUUGUCAGAAUUGCAACUUAUGGUGCAGUUAUUGUAUUUAACAAUGGGAAUGUCAGGAGGAUGAAGGUAUUAGAAAGAAUGGGCUUCAAGACAGGAAAUUUUACUCAAGACAUCCUGAGAAAAAUAGAUUUACAGCGCGUCUCUGCAGCUUUAAAGUCAGUUGAAGAUCUGGUAAAGGAAAGAAGACAGACAACAAGAAACCAGAAGAGAAGCCUUGAAGGGAAAGAUGACCCAGAGUACGAAUGCAGUGCCUUCUGAGGAAGUGACAUAAGGAAAAAAGAUAGGUUGAACUUUAAAUUGCGUUUCCUGAAAAGUUUGUUUUUUAAAGUUUAUAUACCUUUUCCUCAGAUUCUAUGAAUGCUAGAAUUAUGAAAUUUUGUACAAAUUUUUCUGUAAACCUAAUAAACAUUGUCUCAAGAGCAAAUUUCAAAAUUCUGAUUGCAAUCUGAGAUAUGGGGCGACAUACUUGGAAUUUUGCAUGAAUUUAAAAUUGUACUUGUGGAAUUAUAAUUAAAAAAUUAUGGAUAUUCUCCUAUUUGACCUAUUCCAAAAACCUCAUGAGAGAAGCUUACAACAUAUAAAGAGAUGAAACAGAGAAAUUUUUGUAAAAAUCUGUUGAAUACUUUCUGAGAAAAGGAACAUAGAUUAUUUUCUGAAAAUAAAACUUCAAAUUUCAUUCAAAACAAGUUGAAUAUAUAUAAUCAAAGGAUUUUAUAUUUAAAUGUGUUACUUUUGUGUAAAGCAUGGUACAAAAUUUCAGUGCCAUAUCUCCAAAACUGUGGAUUUGGUGCAUUUUUGAAAUAGUGUGUGUUUUUCAUCAAUGUCCCCCCUUUCAGUAUUUUCAUUCAAGGGAAGUGAAACCAAGUAAGGAGGAUUUUCUUAUUUAUGACAUGCACUGGUGCACUUGAAGUCCGCUGCCUGCAUCUACAAUUGAAAUGUACAAGAAAAAGUCCAAUAGCCUAAAAAUUCAUACAGACACAGAACAUUUCAAAUAACGCAAUCGUAUUAUCCCUUUUAAAUGUUGUUCAUAUUUAUGUGUAUAGGGUAAGAUGGGGUAAAUCCAACCAGGUGGGUAAACCCAACUGCUCCCUAUUUGUGAGAAAUGGCAAAGUGGGGCAAUUUCGCAUUAGUGUUACCAUAUAGAACAUUCGAAAGAACGAAAAUGUCACCUUGACAGCUUUGCCACAUUUGACAUUUAGACACUCAAAAGACAACAAGUGUGUUUUCGAUUGUUUCAAUUUAAUUUUUGCGCAAAUUGCAUCACUAGCUUUACCUUAUUAAAUAAAAUGAUCACAAAACAAAUGGUAAGUGAUUUGUGUAGUGCAUUUAGUGUCCAAUUCAGUGUAUGUAUCAUUUUUGUGUAAAUUGUUUCUAUGUGUGUUAAAUGACAAAUGGCAUGGUGUGGUAAAUCCGACCACAUAUUUUUUAUCGUUUAUGUGUAUGGAAUUAUUUAUUUAUGUAAACAAAGUGAAUUUUUGUUUAUUUUUAGGAAAAUGGUAUGGAAUUACAAAUGAAAAAUGACAAAACUCAAUCAAAAUGAUAUUCGCCAAGCAGUUACUGCAAUGCAAAUGGGAAUGUCUUGACGAGCUGUCGCUCUUGAUUUUAACAUUCAGAGACUGACAUUGCUGUUGCACCACCAGACUAAUAAAGUGAAUAUGCAACGUACUGAAGUCAAUUUGAAUGAUAUGUUGCUUCUGCAGGCCAUAGCACAGUGCUGACCGAAGAACAAGAAAAUGCUUUAGAACCAUUUGAAGCAUGCUUCCGUUGUUUUCCUUGGUUUGACGAGCAACCAUCAAGAUCAUUAGCAUUAGAAUUUGCCACACAAGUAAAAGCCAAUGUCUGUGAUUCAUGGAAAAGGGAAUCGAAAGCAGGACAAAAUUGGUUCCGGAUUUAUGCAACGGCAUCAGACACUUUCACUGCGAAAGCCAGAAGCAACCAAUGUUGGCAAGAGCAAGUGUGUUCAAUCGACAUAAUGUGGCCAAAUUUUUUGAAAACUAUAGAUGUGUGAUGAACACACAUUCAUUUGGUCCACACAAUAUUUGUAAUGUCAAUGAAACGGGUGUCACAACAGGGCAUCGGUCUGUCCGAGUGAUUGCUCGUUGUGGCAACCGACAUGUUGGGCAAAUCACUUCAGCCGAGAAGGGGAAACUGGUGACAGUGCUUUUGCCUGUCUCAGCCAUCGGAAUGUGGAUGCCACCAUAUUUCAUGUUUCCCCCAAGCCCACUUCCAAGCGCAUUUUUUGAAUGGCGGCCCAACAGUUUGCAUUGGCGGGGCACAUCAAUCAUGAACGAAAUAUUUCUGGACUUUUUAAGGGAUUUCUGUGCCUUCACACAUUGCUCGCCAGACCAGCCAGUGCUGCCAUUGAUGGAUAACCAUGAAAGCCACUGGUCGUUAGCAGCACUGCAAUAGUGCCGAACAAAUGGGAUUCAUGUGGUGUUGUUUCCGCCCCAUUGCUCGCAUCAAUUGCAACCACUCAAUGUUGCAAUAUUUGGUCUGUUCAAAACAGCGAUGAACCAGCAAUGCCUCAACUUUCUUCAGAUGCAUCCCACCCGGCCCAUCCAAAUUUUCAAUUUACCCGCAAUGGUGAACCGAGCACUGGAAAUCAGUGCCAUGGAAACCAACAUUAAAGCUGGAUUCUGUGCAGUGGCAUUUGGCCGAUCAACCCACAGAUUUUCCAGGAUAUUGAUGUUAGGCCGAGCAAAAGAACCAAUCAUUCGCUGGAAAAACUCACUAUGGAUGUCGAUGAUGGCGAUUGUAAUUAACAAGAGGAUGACAUUCCACUGAAUCCACCACUCGCUGCUUCAACAGUAACAACAUUGACAUCCAGUUUGAACGAGACGUUGCAAUCGAUUCAUCCGUUCAUGCGCAUGCCGCCUCGAGAAGGAACAAAACACGGCUGUAAGCCUGGCCAAACAUCCAUCCUUACCUCAGAUGAAACCAUUUCUGAAGUGGCAGAAGCUGAGUGAAACCUGUUAGCGAAGCAAACAAAGAAGGCCAGCAAUAAAGCCAAGAAGGCAAAAAAGGUUACCGAAAAAAAUUCGAAUAAUCGAACAAAUGCCAAACAACCAUCAGCAUCGCACAGCCAACCAGACGUUCAAAUCGAACCAAAUGUUUGCAAAUAAGCUAUUUCGAUAGCCAAUCACACUCUGAUUAAUUAAUUAAUUCUUCUCUUUCAAUGAAAUCAUCUUUUUUUAAUUAAAAUUUACAUUCUUUUAACUUUCAGGACAUUUAUUACUCUAAACAUUGUCAUUUUUUUGAAUAAAUUUUGUUCAUUUAUGUAAAAAACAUAA